Molecule: ribosomal RNA, 541 nt
Filed under: uncultured bacterium
Lineage: Bacteria
Description: bacterial SSU rRNA
Rfam family: Bacterial small subunit ribosomal RNA
Source: RNAcentral
UGGGGAAUCUUGGACAAUGGGGGCAACCCUGAUCCAGCCAUGCCGCGUGAGUGAUGAAGGCCUUAGGGUCGUAAAGCUCUUUCGCCUGUGAAGAUAAUGACGGUAGCAGGUAAAGAAACCCCGGCUAACUCCGUGCCAGCAGCCGCGGUAAUACGGAGGGGGUUAGCGUUGUUCGGAAUUACUGGGCGUAAAGCGCACGUAGGCGGACCAGAAAGUUGGGGGUGAAAUCCCGGGGCUCAACCCCGGAACUGCCUCCAAAACUAUUGGUCUAGAGUUCGAGAGAGGUGAGUGGAAUUCCAAGUGUAGAGGUGAAAUUCGUAGAUAUUUGGAGGAACACCAGUGGCGAAGGCGGCUCACUGGCUCGAUACUGACGCUGAGGUGCGAAAGUGUGGGGAGCAAAACAGGAUUAGAUACCCUGGUAGUCCACACCGUAAAACGAUGAAUGCCAGUCGUCGGGUAGCAUGCUAUUCGGUGACACACCUAACGGAUUAAGCAUUCCGCCUGGGGAGUACGGUCGCAAGAUUAAAACUCAAAUGAAUUG